AAGUGUUAUAGCUCUUCUAGAAUUGGUCUAGUAGGUUUCUGGUCUUUAUCAGAAGAACCCCU
Small nuclear RNA from Bison bison bison, 62 nucleotides. Its record names the gene U7. It matches the Rfam family "U7 small nuclear RNA". Rfam says of the family: Animal histone pre-mRNAs are spliced by a different mechanism than nuclear pre-mRNAs and self-splicing introns. This processing involves the U7 snRNP, which contains only one RNA species: U7. The record is from Ensembl. Lineage: Eukaryota; Metazoa; Chordata; Mammalia; Artiodactyla; Bovidae.